This 474-nucleotide long non-coding RNA is filed under the name Bos mutus (wild yak). RNAcentral describes it as "lncRNA (ENSBMUG00000008401.1)". Lineage: Eukaryota; Metazoa; Chordata; Mammalia; Artiodactyla; Bovidae. The record is from RNAcentral.
GGCGUCCGGGGGGCAGGCGGCCUAGAGCUGAUUGGGGAAGUCACCAGGAUUACAUCAUCGACCGGUAAGUAGGCUUCAUUAACUCUCCGAUGAGUGCAGUGUCGAGAGGGAAUGGUUUUUUUCUUCUUCGAGGAGCCAGAAGAGGUGAUCGUUAGAUUUGUCCUGUAAAAUAAAACUGUUCCGUGGCAGGGACGAGCCUUUAAGCUUCUCCGGUGUAUCUGGCACCCUGGCUUCUCUCUGGGAGGAAGGAAGAGUGUCUAUUCAUGGGCUGUGACUUGGAGAGGCCCCACGUAACACCGACUCUGAAAAGAAGUUGUUUUUCACCCUGGACUUGAAGUAACUGGUGGAGAGGCAGUCCUAACAGGUGAUUUAGAAGUUGCUGGAAAGGGGAAAAUCAGAAACAUGCAAUCAGGGAUGUGGCUGAAGCAGAUGAAGGGAAGCGAUGAAGCUGUCAACAGCGUACCUAGGACCUAA